AGUCGAGCGAACAGACCAGGAGCUUGCUCCUCUGACGUUAGCGGCGGACGGGUGAGUAACACGUGGAUAACCUACCUAUAAGACUGGGAUAACUUCGGGAAACCGGAGCUAAUACCGGAUAAUAUAUUGAACCGCAUCAAUAGUGAAAGACGGUUUUGCUGUCACUUAUAGAUGGAUCCGCGCCGCAUUAGCUAGUUGGUAAGGUAACGGCUUACCAAGGCAACGAUGCGUAGCCGACCUGAGAGGGUGAUCGGCCACACUGGAACUGAGACUCCAGACUCCUACGGGAGGCAGCAGUAGGGAAUCUUCCGCAAUGGGCGAAAGCCUGACGGAGCAACGCCGUGAGUGAUGAAGGUCUUCGGAUCGUAAAACUCUGUUAUUAGGGAAGAACAAAUGUGUAAGUAACUAUGCACGUCUUGACGGUACCUAAUCAGAAAGCCACGGCUAACUACGUGCCAGCAGCCGCGGUAAUACGUGGCAAGCGUUAUCCGGAAUUAUUGGGCGUAAAGCGCGCGUAGGCGGUUUUUUAAGUCUGAUGUGAAAGCACGGCUCAACCGUGGAGGGUCAUUGGAAACUGGAAAACUUGAGUGCAGAAGAGGAAAGUGGAAUUCCAUGUGUAGCGGUGAAAUGCGCAGAGAUAUGGAGGAACACCAGUGGCGAAGGCGACUUUCUGGUCUGUAGACGCUGAUGUGCGAAAGCGUGGGGAUCAAACAGGAUUAGAUACCCUGGUAGUCCACGCCGUAAACGAUAGUGCUAAGUGUUAGGGGGUUUCCGCCCCUUAGUGCUGCAGCUAACGCAUUAAGCACUCCGCCUGGGGAUACGACCGCAAGGUUGAAACUCAAAGGAAUUGACGGGGACCCGCACAAGCGGUGGAGCAUGUGGUUUAAUCGAAGCAACGCGAAGAACCUUACCAAAUCUUGACAUCCUCUGACCCCUCUAGAGAUAGAGUUUUCCCCUUCGGGGGACAGAGUGACAGGUGGUGCAUGGUUGUCGUCAGCUCGUGUCGUGAGAUGUUGGGUUAAGUCCGCAACGAGCGCAACCCUUAAGCUUAGUUGCCAUCAUUAAGUUGGGCACUCUAAGUUGACUGCCGGUGAAACCGGAGGAAGGUGGGGAUGACGUCAAAUCAUCAUGCCCCUUAUGAUUUGGGCUACACACGUGCUACAAUGGACAAUACAAAGGGCAGCGA
This 1186-nucleotide ribosomal RNA is filed under the name Staphylococcus epidermidis. RNAcentral describes it as "bacterial SSU rRNA". It matches the Rfam family "Bacterial small subunit ribosomal RNA", at positions 60 to 1252 of the family's 1533-position model. Lineage: Bacteria; Bacillati; Bacillota; Bacilli; Caryophanales; Staphylococcaceae. The record is from RNAcentral.